GUAGGUGAACCUGCGGAGGGAUCAUUACCGAGUGAGGGCCUCUGGCCCGACCUCCAACCCUUUGAAUUCCGACUCUGUUGCCUCGGGGGCGACCCGGCCCUUAUGGGCGUCGGGGCCCCCGGUGGACCACACAACUCUGCAUCCGUGCGUCUGAGUAACAACCGAAUAAGUUAAAACUUUCAACAACGGAUCUCUUGGUUCUG
This 203-nucleotide unclassified non-coding RNA is filed under the name rhizosphere metagenome. RNAcentral describes it as "partial ribosomal RNA internal transcribed spacer region". The record is from RNAcentral.